AUUGCUCAAAUAUGCUACCUCUCCGUGGUGGGCGGCAGGCAACGGGAUUCUCUCUCGGCUAAAGCAUAU
Molecule: ribozyme, 69 nt
Filed under: unclassified sequences
Description: HDV ribozyme from F. prausnitzii
Rfam family: HDV ribozyme from F. prausnitzii
Source: RNAcentral